GAUGAAGAUCGUAGCGAAAUGCGAUAAGUAAUGUGAAUUGCAGAAUUCAGUGAAUCAUCGAAUCUUUGAACGCACAUUGCGCCCGCCAGUAUUCUGGCGGGCAUGCCUGUUCGAGCGUCAUUUCAACCAUCAAGCCCCCGGCUUGUGUUGGGGACCUGCGGCUGCCGCAGGCCCUGAAAAGCAGUGGCGGGCUCGCUGUCACACCGAGCGUAGUAGCAUACAUCUCGCUCUGGGCGUGCUGCGGGUUCCGGCCGUUAAACCACCUUCAUAACCCAAGGUUGACCUCGGAUCAGGUAGGAAGACCCGCUGAACUUAAGCAUAUCAAUAAGCGGAGGA
Molecule: unclassified non-coding RNA, 336 nt
Filed under: soil metagenome
Description: partial contains 5.8S ribosomal RNA, internal transcribed spacer 2, and large subunit ribosomal RNA
Rfam family: 5.8S ribosomal RNA (bases 1-120)
Source: RNAcentral